RNAcentral lists this ribosomal RNA (253 nucleotides) under uncultured bacterium. Its description in RNAcentral is "partial 16S ribosomal RNA". It matches the Rfam family "Bacterial small subunit ribosomal RNA", at positions 524 to 776 of the family's 1533-position model. The record is from RNAcentral.
UACGAAGGGUGCAAACGUUGCUCGGAAUUAUUGGGCGUAAAGCGCACGUAGGCGGCUUGGCAAGUCGGAUGUGAAAGCCCUCGGCUCAACCAAGGAAGUGCAUCCGAAACUGCUGAGCUUGAGUACUGAAGAGGAUCGCGGAAUUCCCGGUGUAGAGGUGAAAUUCGUAGAUAUCGGGAGGAACACCAGUGGCGAAGGCGGCGAUCUGGGCAGACACUGACGCUGAGGUGCGAAAGCGUGGGGAGCAAACAGG